RNAcentral lists this ribosomal RNA (394 nucleotides) under uncultured bacterium. RNAcentral describes it as "bacterial SSU rRNA". It matches the Rfam family "Bacterial small subunit ribosomal RNA", at positions 28 to 417 of the family's 1533-position model. The record is from RNAcentral.
GGUGAACGCUGGCGGCAGGCCUAACACAUGCAAGUCGAACGGCAGCACAGCAGUAGCAAUACUGUGGGUGGCGAGUGGCGGACGGGUGAGGAAUACAUCGGAAUCUGCCUAGUCGUGGGGGAUAACGUAGGGAAACUUACGCUAAUACCGCAUACGACCUACGGGUGAAAGCGGGGGAUCGCAAGACCUCGCGCGAUUAGAUGAGCCGAUGUCCGAUUAGCUAGUUGGCGGGGUAAUGGCCCACCAAGGCGACGAUCGGUAGCUGGUCUGAGAGGAUGAUCAGCCACACUGGAACUGAGACACGGUCCAGACUCCUACGGGAGGCAGCAGUGGGGGAAUAUUGCGCAAUGGGCGAAAGCCUGACGCAGCGACGCCGCGUGGGUGAUGAAGGCCU